UUUGAUUUCGAGAAGUUAUCAGAAUUUGGCAUCGACUUUUUGUUCGCAAUUUCUUCAUUUCAUUCGUUUGUUUAAUAAAUUUUCAAUCUACACGAGAAUUAGCAAUGGAUUUUUGUUGCUUUGAAUUUUAUCAUUCGAUGGGGGGGGGCACAAUGAAAAAUCUAAUGCUCCUUGUUAUAUUUUUUUAGUUUUUGAAAAUUAACCCUAUAAAUGUGACAUAUACCUCUAGAUUUCUUGUUUGGCCAUAUUUUCAAAAAAUAAGUCAAAUUUUAAAAUCUAAAAAAAAGUUUUUAAAAUUUUAUUUUUGUUUUUUAAAAUUCACUAAGAAUUCAACUCUUAUGCUUAGAAAGAUGCUAAUCAUGACAAGAAAAUGUGAGAAAAUAAACUUAAUUUUCAAAAACCAAAAAUUAAAAUCGAAAUGAUUUUCAAACUGAGUCUUAUAAUAAGUGGUAGUUAAAAAAGUAACCCUUCUGGUUGUAUUGUCCAUGAGUUCGUUUAAUUUAAUAAGUUUUUCUUUCUCGUGCUUUAGGAAUAUCUUUAUCAGUUCGAUAAUUAUUGUUUUGGGUUUUUUUUAUUAAAUUUAUUGGGGUUGCUGUCAUGAAGAAAGCGGCUUUUUGAAAAGGAAUAAGAAGUUUUUUCAGUAUAAUUUUAGGAUUUUGAAAAUGCUUUGGAUUGAAUUCUAUUCUUUGCUUACUGCUGGUAAAAAAUGAAAACCGUUUUUCUUUUUUUCUCUUGAGAUUUUAUUAUUAUCCCAUGAUGUCGAUUGCUUUUAUUAUUGAACACGGAUUUUAUGAAUGUAAUGUUGAAUUUGCGUUAAUAUAAAUGUAGAUUUCUUAACAUAUCCAUUUGUUUGGUUCUUCUUUAUGAUUAACGUCGUGGUUGAGUUGUUCUUGGCAUUGUUCUUAAAGAAUUACCUUCUGGAGGUAGCUUCUGAGGUCAAACUGGAAAGAAACUCUUAAUUCUGUUGUAGCAAAAAUUGUCAGAAGAUUUGGUUUUGCAUAUACAACUUAGUUUUCACCAUCCCUGGAUUAGGAUUUUUUUGCUUGCAGCACCCCGAUCACAUGGCAUAUACACUUUUUCGAAUAUCUUUACAACCUCUAUCUUUCGCUGUAAUGAUAUGAUGCUGCACGAAUGCAACAAUCUCUACACUCUUAUCUAAAAAAUGCAACAAUCUCUACACCGUUGGACAUUUGUGAUACUUGCAUAGAAAUAUGUGAUACUACAUUAUAAAUAUGUGUUAGAUUCAUGUUUCAAGAAGUACAGAGGAUAUCCAUCCAAUCUUCAACGGAUCUGUCGUGAGAGAUGUGUUGUACGUGUACCUAGUACAGUAUGUACAACAUAUAUGUUCUGCUUCUGACAGGCCAAGUCAACUGGUUGUGUAUUAUCAAGCAAGUGAAGUUGACUUUAAAUCAUCUUAUUUGAUUGGUGAAGGUGAUACUUCUAAUAUGCCAUAUCGGACAGCGUGAGGAGGAAAAAAUGAACUAUAUAAUCAAUGAAAUUCCAAAAAAAUCGGUGAUUCAUGUGGUAGCUUGUGUUAGCAUCUUGGUGGCGAGGGCUUCGGAUGCUUAGAGAUACUUUCUGGAGUCCUAUUUUAAAGAUCCUAAGGAUCCAUACUUGAACAAUGUCUUUGGAAAUUUAUAGGAAUCUACUCUAGAAUGCUACUGUGGAGUGCCAGCAAAACUAAGAAUGUCUCAGACAGAAAAAAAUCCAUUCAGGCUAUUCUACAACUGUCCAAAGGAGAUAUCUCAACAAUGUGGUUUCUUUCAUUGGGCUGAUGAACCCGAACCAUGUGAUGAUAGACAUGUCAAUGAACUAGACUUGAUCCGCAACGUGUGUCUUCGUCUAACAGAAAGAUUUGACGAAAUCGAAGAGGAACAUGAGGAUGAGAAAGCAGAGUGGGAAAGGGAAAAGGCUGAGUUAACAUUGAAACUAUCAACUCUGCAGAUUCAGUUUGAUGAUAUUCAUAAUAGAAUAAGGAUGUCGAAUGAGUCGUUUUCAAUGCCUCCUUUUGAUUCACUUUCCAUUAGGGACGAGAACGACGACACAUUAGUUGUAUAUACUUUGUAAUGAGACCAUUGUAAAUUAUAUCAAGUUGUGUGAGAGAUCAUGUAAAAAAAAUUUAAGCUAUCUAUUUUCGGUGUGACUUUGUUUGGUAACUAUUUUGUUACUUGCUUUCGUAGAAAAAUGAAAAUAUCGAAAUUCUAUAUGAAAA
This is a long non-coding RNA of Benincasa hispida (wax gourd), 2212 nucleotides long. RefSeq lists it as uncharacterized. The record is from RefSeq and is a predicted model, not a curated record. NCBI's taxonomy places the organism in Eukaryota, Viridiplantae, Streptophyta, Magnoliopsida, Cucurbitales, Cucurbitaceae.